CUCCUUUAAGUUUUGCUCAAUGCUAAAAUUUUAUUAGCUCCUGAAUUCUGGAAGAAAAUUCUUUAGACAGGAUCUUUGGUAUUAUACUCUCUCCCCUGAUACUCUAUCCCCAUUUUAGCUGGAGAUAAAAGAUGGUGUAAAGAAUUGCAUUCUGUAUGCUGCCUUUUGCAAACAGCACUAGCCUUAUGAAACCUUUGCCUUACAGGUUCCCCUUAAGCUCUGUCUUCCCUCCCAGAAGUUAUAACAUAUGUCACAAAUAGAACAAAUAUCUGCCUUUUCCAGGUUCCAUUAACUCCGUGAAAAGGGCUCAGCUAGUGCCUUUAUCCUCACCCUCUGAAGUUGAGCUCACUCUUUGCUGAUGGUGAUAUUUGGAACUUGAUGGGACACCAGAUGUCCUGGCAGCCUUUCGUUAAUGUGGAACUCUAUGAUCAGAAAGCUGAGUGCCUAUAUUUGCAUAUGAAACUGUUCUCUAUGGCAGUGCUGGGAAUAUUAAGUGGCGGCCAUAUUUUCAUGAAAACCCUUCAUCUUUUGAAAAGAAAUCCAAAGUAAUCACAAGAAAUAUUCAGAUGGAACGUUUGUGGCCCACCUAGCCGGAUCUACAAAUAUCAGGCCAUCUGAAACCCUCAGCUCUUGUGAAACAUCUAGUUGUCAGUUACUGUGCUAUACUCUAAAAUUGUCUCAUUCACAAGCAAGAAUGCUGUAACAAGACACAAAAACACAAGGGUCAUCAUCAAAUAUAGACAAAAAAAACCAAGUGUAGUGCAAAGUGCUGCUUAGGCUCACCAACCAGCCACCAGGAGUCCUUUGGGAAGAUUUUGAAACAGUGGGUGACAAGUCACGAAAGCUGCAGGAAUGUCAAGCCCAAAACCUUGGCUACAGAAUCGGAGUCUAAAGAAAUGACGGUGGCUUACUUUAUUCUUUCUCAAGACCCUGAUUAGAAUACCAUAGUGAAGGCACCCAGUUCGGCACUUGUUUCACAAGACUACAGUAGGAACCGAGAGGCAGCAGAGAGAAAAACAAAGUUGAAAUAGAACUGAAAAAAAAAAAAAGAAUAGAACUGUGAAGACAGGCUUAAUCUCUUAAAGAUAUUUUCCAGGUGGAUUGACUGAGCUGUGCAAUGUUUCCAAACCCGUAGAUAAAUCUCCUGGUCAAUCCUGGUGUCACCAAUGACCCUUAAGAUUGGCCCUCCACCUCUGUCAUGAAAACAUUUCACGGAUGCUUUAUUCUCUCUUGAAAAGGAGACACACCUAGGUUUUGGAAUGUGGGCUUUCCCAUUCCAGGCUAAGGGUGAAGUGUGCUAUGGUUGGAUUAAAUCUUUACUGCAGGGAUGUUUGAGAAUAAAGCCACAGGGUUGUUUUUAUUAAAUUUAAAA
Long non-coding RNA from Mesocricetus auratus (golden hamster), 1372 nucleotides. RefSeq lists it as uncharacterized. NCBI's taxonomy places the organism in Eukaryota, Metazoa, Chordata, Mammalia, Rodentia, Cricetidae. The record is from RefSeq and is a predicted model, not a curated record. The transcript has 2 exons.